Molecule: long non-coding RNA, 5233 nt
Organism: Epinephelus moara (kelp grouper)
Lineage: Eukaryota; Metazoa; Chordata; Actinopteri; Perciformes; Serranidae
Exons: 3
Source: RefSeq, a predicted model, not a curated record
GCCACCACCUCUCUGUCUCUCUCUUUCACUGCCACUUUCUUACACUUCUCUCAAAAAAAUCUCAUUAUCAGAGUUGUUCUUAAAUUCCUUUUCUUCAUGUUUUGAUCCAGUCUAAGUGGCCUGUGCUGAGAUAUAUUCCUGUUUCUGGGUGAGACCUUUGCAAAUCCAGUUUUGGCGACUCAUGAUUUCUAUCUGUCAGCUUAAAUCAAAGGAUUACACAGUCCUAAUGGGUCGCGAAUGUUAUGCAUUUCUGUGGAUUAGGAAAAGCCUCCAAACACAUUUGAAUGAAAUGAAAAAUACAUGCUCAAGCUCAGGCAGAUUUUUUUGGUCACAUUGUUGCACACACAGCACUGUUGUUUCACAAAACAGAGCCUACAAUAUAUUCCUGUACAAGAAGACACUUUUAUGCAUGGAUGGAUUAUUUAGCAUGCCUACUGGGCAAGUGUCAGGCCCCCCUGGCCUCCAUCUGCAAAAUGUCACCCAAAUUAACAUCAGGAAGAUACUCAAAAUGACCAAAAAGAGACACUGAAAGACCACAAAGAGAUGCAAAGGGACUGCAAAGUGACACAAAAUAACUACAAAAACAGGUAAAACAACCACAAAGAGACAUAAAACAACUACAAAGAGGCACAAAGCAACCACAAGGUGACACAAAAUGACUACGAAGCAGCAAAAAAUGACCAAAUAAGGCACAAAUUACCACGAGAGACACAAAACAACCACAAAGAGACAAUAAACAACCACAAAGAGACAUAAAACAACCACGAAAAGACACAAAACAACCACAAAAACAUGCAUUACAGCUACAAUAAGAUGCAAAACCACCACAAAGUCUGUGUGUCUUGCUCCUGUGUAGGAGAGGUGGUGGAGCCCUUUGCAUAUCUGUACCCAGGGGCCCAUUGUCUCAUAAUCAGCCCAUGCUUUUAGUGCUUGCAGUCCAUCCUCUGAAGGGGAGUCUUUGUGUUUUAUUGCUCGCUGUAAUGGUCAGUAUCAGUGGGGGGUUUAUGAAGUUCUGAUUCUACAAAUGCCAGAGAAGAAUCAGUGUUGAAUCUACAGCAGAACACGGCUCCCCCUUUUCCUUCCUGCCCCAUAAAUCCAGUUUUUCCAUGCUCACAACAUCACACAGUGCCUGCCACUUUCCGCCUGCAAGACUGGUCCUGCUGGCAAGACCAGCUUCACUCGAUAUUUAAACCAGACUGCUGCGGGGUCUGGACCAGCUGCGUGUUAUCAAAACAUCUGAAUGGACGUAAGAGAAAAUGAGGGCAAAGCUGUGGGUUUUGUGUAUAGUUUGCUUCUCCUCUGACUGUGCACUUAUUAUCACUUCUACAGAUUAAUUCAUGUUCUGCAAUGCCUGCAGCGUAAACCUGUGUGUUCGGGUGGGCUUGCUGCCAUGGGAAUCUACUGUAAGUGAAACUCAGAGGGAAGCCUGUAUGGGCGAUGUUGGCCUCAGUUGAUUAACACCAUUAAUUAAUUAAUCACUGAUUACCCCGAGUGAGUACAGUGAGAAACCAUUACGUAACACCACUUACAGAAGCGAUAUGGUCUGCUCUGCUCUCUAUAACACAGAAUGAUUAAUUCCGAUCUCUGUUGCUGCUGCUGUUUUCCACACAGUGUCUGCUGUUACCUAACAGUGUUUUUGCACUGGACCUGAAGCCAAGGUGCAGAACGGAUCAGGAGUUCUUGCACUCAUGUUAAUUUCAGUGGCUGUUUGACCCUUACAGGAACUGUGUUAUCCACGCACACACCCUGAUCGCGUCAGACACAGCGCAAUUUAGGUAUUUCACAGCAUUGUGAAAGAGGCCUACACAGAGAGAGUGUUUCUUCACUGGGGACUGUGUCUCUGGUACACAGGGGCAGUUUACAUAAUGGCAUCCUUUUGUGGUUACAUGUACAAUAUAGGAUGUUUCUCUCUUCCUGCGUCAGCACCGACCACGUCCACGCACGGCUGCUCAAAGGUCGCACGGGAAGCAGGCCAAGCAAAGCACCCCAGACAUCCCUCUCCUCUCCAACGCUUUCCAGCUCCUCCUGGGGGACCCCAAGGUGUUCCCAGGCCAGACGAGAUAUGUAAUCCCUCCAGCGUGUUCUGGGUCUGCCCCGGGGCCUCCUACCAGUAGGACGUGCAGGGGGAGGUGCCCAGGAGCAUCCUAUCUCUAAGGCUGAGCCCAGCCACCCCACAGAGGGAACUCAUUUCCACCGCUUGUAUCCACAAUCUCAUUCUUUCGGUCACUACCCAGAGUUCAUGACUAUAGGUGAGGGUUGGGACGUAGAUGGACCAGUAAAUCGAAAGCUUUGCUUUCCAGCUCAGCUCCCUCUUCACCACGACGGACCGGCGCAGCACCCGCAUCACUGCAGAAGCCGCACUGACCCGCCGAUCCAUCUCACGCUCCAUUCUACCCUCACUCAUGAACAAGACCCCAAGAUACUUGAACUCCCUUGCUUGUAUUCAGUGGUUGUUAAAAUUAAAGUACUUAUGUGUCAUAUUUGCUUCCAUAAUUUCUGCUUUCCAGCACUUUGGGAAACAGGGAAAGCUCGAGGAGAGGAGAGGAAGCUUACCAGCACACAUUUAGACAACUGGAAGUAUAAUCUUGACCUAUGUUGUGCUUCUAACUUGAUAUUUUUAAAAUCUUACAUACCUAUAUAUAUUGUGGCAAUUUUACACAAUAUCCAUACAUGCCACUAUCUCCAGGACAGGUUUCACCAAGACAAGAAAAGCAACUUUCAUUGUUUCAAGCAGCAGAAAAAGGAUUUAAAUAUAUCCUACAAAAUUCUGAGCCAAGAUUAAUAUCAACUUUUUUAUCACAGUCCUAGGUUCAGUCACUUCGUAAACGUUGAAUGACACACUUGAGUGGAAACUUUUUUGGCCUUUUUAUGGCAAUAAAACCAUAAAGAUUAAGAAACAAGGUCAAAGUUGUAGAAGCCACCUCAGUUUCCUUCCACAGCGGUGAAGAAAACAAAUUCCGGAGAAGCUCACUGUUCAAUGUCUGAAGGAGAUCAUAAAACUGAUAAUUACACAGAGUACACACUGUUCACAGUGUUAAAAUGGACAGAGAGAGAGAGGUCACCAGAGAUUGAUAGAUAUGAAAUGCUUUGUAUGAUAUCUGCUAUCUAGAUGUGUGGCUAUGUUACCGCAGCACCUCUGUUCUCUCACUCUCGUCUUACUGUCCACAAGGUCUUAUUACUCAAAAUAUUUGGGUUUCAAAUAAGGACGUCCUGUGUUAUCAUUAUCAGUGCUCUGCUGUCUGAACAUAUUUCAUAACUCCUGCUUUGUCUGUGUUUUGUGCAUGUUGUUGGUGCUGUGUUAAUGAUCUGUUUCUGUGUCAGACUAAUUGUAUGUUUGAUUGUAAACACUGGUGUUUUUUGUCAAAGUGUGUAUCUGUCUGUGUGCAUGUAUUUGAGUCAAGGUCAGGACGUUGUUCCCAUCUAGAAGACCUGUGACUUCAUUUUCAACAAUUACAUAACUCCCCUCUUAUCUCUCCUCCCAGACUUUCCUUCAACAGAGGCUAAUUUUCAUUCGCUGACUUUUAGCAGCUUUCUUCAAUCCCCAACAGUAUCAAGCCUCUUAUCUCACAUCGGGUCAGACCAGCAGUACGUAUAGGUUUGAUUGCCCUCUUCUCUCAGAGUGUGUGUCACUGGCGGUGAACAGCAGCGCUCUCCAUUAAUCACAGGCUGAUCGCAGCUGAACCUGAAACUCGGGCAGAUUGCUCGGCGUGUUGGCCUCCGUCCCUCUUCAGUUUCCCUUCAGCUAAGCUCAGGAGGACCACAGAGUGGAUGGUGCAUUGAUGUGAAGCAGUAAUGGGCUCGUGUCGAACACAGCCAGCCAACAGCAUUAAGGUUACCAGCAUGGGUUUCGGGCCUGUCUUUUAAAUGUGGCAGCAGUCACUGAAUAGCAGUGUGGCUGCUCUCGCUGCCAUGCCUCCUUGGCCUCCCUGUAUUGGCUCUGUGUGUCUGUCACUGCGGAUCGAUGCAGCACUACAAAAGCACACAGUGUUCAGCUCUAUCGGCAGAGUGGCAGGGCUAAUGGGGAGCCUGUCUGGCCAAUCUUGGCCUGACCUAGCCAAGCUGUCACUGUGAUCUGCCCACCCCUGAAUACAAAUUAUUGGAUAGAAGGGAUCCACAGUGCUCUGCUUGGAUUGGCCAUCUACUCAUCUCUGAGCUGACAUCAUUGGCCACCUGCUGCAAAAAUGCAGAGGAACCUUAUCUGAGAUGAAUCCCUCAAAGACUUGCCAGGGUUUGAAAGUCAAUAUAGGCCUCAUAUCUGGUGAACGCAUAACACGUCUUCAGUAAUUGGAUUUUUCCAGUCACACGACAAGCAGGUCUGUGUCAGUCUAUUGACUGGUCUGUGUAAAGCAUCAAUCAUUAACCUGUGCUACUAUGACACGGUGUGACAGGAAGGGAUGUGGAAAAACACACUGCAGUUGUUACACAUCAGCUGCACUGCAUCCGUCCUCUUCCAGGGGACACUGAACUCAGGUUUGUUUUGCAAUAACAUGUAAUCCUGUACCACGGAAUGCUACAGCUCUUGGACCCACUGAGGUGUGUGUCUGGAAACUUGUGUGUGUGUAUUUAUGUGCGUAUGUGUUUUCCCAGCUGCACUGCAUGCUCCACAGUACACCCUAGUGUGGGAUGAUAAGUUGGAGCAGAGUUUUUUGGUGGAUGGGUCACUGCAGUUCACUUCAUUUUUGCUCCUCUGCACUGCUGAAGAAUAUGUUGCAUAAUAAUGAUUUCAAAAAAAAAAAAAAAAAAAAAGCAAAUGAAUCAGGAUUAGGAUUCUCCUUUGCAUCUGUUGGACACUUCUUUGCAGACUGCAUAACUCUUAUCAGGAAGGAUUAGAUUGGCAGAUUGGGGCGGAGCAGAGUUCACCCAAAAAUCCCAUUAAGAGCACAUCAGAAUUUGGGAUAGAUGGAUUGUAUCAUAUUCUGUUGCAUAAGACGACAGAGGAGCCCCUACCUCUUUUCACCCCUGCUGAAACAUUUCUCUUUCUGUCCAAAUGAACGCGCCUCCUGUGAUGUCACAGUGGAAAUGCUCUACUAACGAUGAGACCAAUCAAUACACUCUUUGCUAUGAGUGUGUGAUGUGUGUGUGUGUGUGUGUGUGUGUGUGUGUGUGUGUGCACGCGGGGACAUGCACUUUCUAAUUAUAGUUGGUAAUGAAUGGAUGACCGUGUGCUUUCAGAUAAAUCCAAUAGCACGGACGGGUCAAGGCGACAAGCCAGAGCUCAUUUUUUACACCUCUG